ACAGCUUCGCUGUACUAAAUUAUAUUUUACAUUUGGCUUACAAUAUUUUUCAUUGUAUGUCAAGAUUUUAAGUGAAGCUAUAAAAAAUGUUCCUCUCGCUAUCCAGUGAUAACCUUUAUGGUGCAUUUGGACGUUGGGGAACUACAUUU
Small nucleolar RNA from Cornus florida, 149 nucleotides. RefSeq annotates it as small nucleolar RNA snoR136. The transcript has a single exon. The record is from RefSeq and is a predicted model, not a curated record. Lineage: Eukaryota; Viridiplantae; Streptophyta; Magnoliopsida; Cornales; Cornaceae.